RNAcentral lists this ribosomal RNA (224 nucleotides) under uncultured bacterium. Its description in RNAcentral is "partial 16S ribosomal RNA". It matches the Rfam family "Bacterial small subunit ribosomal RNA", at positions 111 to 334 of the family's 1533-position model. The record is from RNAcentral.
UAACGCGUAAAGAACUUGCCUCACAGAUAGGGACAACAUUUGGAAACGAAUGCUAAUACCUGAUAUUAUGAUUUUAGGGCAUCCUAGGAUUAUGAAAGCUAUAUGCGCUGUGAGAGAGCUUUGCGUCCCAUUAGCUAGUUGGAGAGGUAACGGCUCACCAAGGCGAUGAUGGGUAGCCGGCCCGAGAGGGUGAUCGGCCACAAGGGGACUGAGACACGGCCCUU